UCAUUUUUGUUAUUAUACACUUUGAAGAAGAAGAAAAAAAAACAAAAGUAAAAGUAUUUCUCUCUUUUCUCAUCGCGGCAACAAGGCACUCCUCUCACAUCUCCUCUUCACCCUCGCUAACGCCCUUGCUCCCCCAUUCUCCACCGAUAGAUAGACAAUGAUGGCGUACAGUAGUAAUUAUGUAAGAGAAAAAAAAUGGUAAAACAUGAGACGAGCAACAGCAUCGAGCGACAAGUUGUCUCUGCUAAGUCGAUAAAAAAAGAUGAAAAUAACAAUUAGUGAGAGACGCUGUAUGAUUGUGUAUAUCAACAAUAAAUAAUUGCUGUGAUUAGAAUCGAUUAUAUUAGUAAGUAGUUAAGGAUCAAUUUUUAAGGCACUUCGCGGAGAGAGAGAGAGGGAGAGAGAGAGAGAGAGAGAGAGAGAGAGAGAGAGAGGGGGAGAGAGAGAAUAAAAUUUUUUACGAGAAAAAAAAAAAGAAGAUAAUGUGAGGUGUGUAAAAUGUCGCCUGUACGAUUUGCGACUGCGUCUUUCAAUGCGUAGAGAUCGUCGCCCUUUGUAACACAUGUCGCCCCGAGGACGUGUGUGUUGCGCACAGAGAGCGCGAGCUGUGAUCUCAUAUUCGAGUUCUGCGGACCUUCCUGAUCCUUUCAACAUCCUUAAUCGGACGAUAACCGAGUGUCCCGGACGUGUCUUUCGUAAAUUCGAUUUAUUAAUUUUUGUAAAAUGCGAAAUUUUACAUAUCUGCUCUUAACGCAUUUGUAAUCGUUACUUUCCAGAUCUAACUGUGUGACAAUACACGGCCGACCAAUAGAAAUUAUUAACGUGAACACGUGGACUGUUGAAAGGGUUGGGCGAGGGGCAGCGCGCUGCAUUCGCGAGAUCGUAGAAUAAAAAUAAAUGAUAUUACGAGGUGAAUCGCGCAGAGGAGGGACACAUUGAAAGUGCCGAUCGCGAAGAGAUUUUCGGAGCCGCGUCUCAAAGCAGAGAGGGUGGCUCCUACGAAAAUGUAUUUUCGCGAUAUUUUCCUCGCGAUCGGUCGCCUCGCACAGCGUAAAGUACAUUAUUCCAGGGUAAAGUUUUGUAAAAUCGUCUGGUACGCAAUAUUUUAUGUAAAAAGCAAAACACACAUAACGAAGACACACUUAACAACCAACACGUUCACACGGAGAACACAUUUUGAGCAUGACGUGAGAGAGAAAGAUGAGAGAGAGAGAGAGAGAGAGAAUGAGAGAGCGGUAUGAAUGGAGAGUAAAAGAGGAGGAACAUUUUCGUGAUGAUCGUAUUACCAUGAGAAUGAGAGACGAAAUAAAACACCUGCUGUAGGCCGGCGAUACGUAACAUACGUAUACGUAUGCGUAUAUAUACAUACUUGUACACAACAUACAAUUACACUGUAAGUAUAUAUAUAUAUAUAUAAAUAUAUAAGAGAUACUCAUACUUUAUAUAGCUGCAUUCGUCGUGUCAUUACGUAUACAGGGCUUGCGAGCGUUGACAGGUGAUUUGUCUCGGCUGGCGUGUUUAAGGAUCGCAUGGGAGCGAGCGAGCGAGAGAGGAAGGGAGAAAGAGAAAGGGAACGGAGAAUGAGAGGGUGUGUGUGCGCGUGCGGGGUGAGGAAGCUAUAUCUCUUGUAGUCGGCGUUACAUAUCUUCGACUCGUUGUUUGCGAAGCGUCACAUCGUUCAAAUCGUUGCAAAAUACCGACGUCAGUAAAGUAUCGACAUAUGUUGCAGAAAAAACGCUAUCAUUAGUAGUGUGGGAGCCCGCGAGACCCGUGACACGUUUAACGAUAAAUGUGGCUGUCUCUCCGUAUUUGAUAAAAAAAAAAAAAGAAAGAACAAGAAAAAAAAAAGAUAAAAAUUCCUACAUAGCGCACUUUAUCCAAGGGAUGUUUUCCUUUGAACGUCUCUCGGUAGAGAUGCUGUGUAGGAAUCGAUCACGGUGAGAAAGAUGAUCUACGCAUAGCUGCCUGUGGACUAGUUGUAACAAUGUUGAUUAAGGAUAAACGAUAUAUAUUAUUUUCUCCCCCUGCCUAUUUUACAAAUAAGACUACGAUAUAGAAAGGACCACGUGAUAAGGAUUACUUAAUUAAGAAUAAAUACAUCAUUAUUGCAACGCAUGUCCUGAAUGGCAUCGACCACUGGCGUUUUCGUAUAGGUACUUUCUAGCUCAUUAAAACGUAAAAACAGGGAUUCUGGACUCUCUGACAGCCGCGUUUAACGUUGCUCGUGCGCAGAAAAAUCUUGGGUUAACGCAAAUAGAUUCGGGAAGAACACAUAGGUGACCCUCGCCCAACCGUCUACCUACAUAUCAAAUCAUUUAGUUAAUGCCAGGAACCUUUCUGAUUAAAAAAAAAAAAGAAAAAAGAAAAGAAAAAAAAAACUCCAGAGUUCUCAUCCCGAUCCUCCCGCAGAUCAAAGGUCGGACAAACUUGCACAGUGUUAGAAAAAAGGAGAAAAAGACAUCGUUGAUCGUUGGGCACUACGCCUCUAGAGUAUAGCCCGAGGAUUCUGGGAAACUAGCUUUCGGAUCCCUCGACCCUUAUCCUCGUGUUUCUCCACCCGGGACUACCUCCUCAUCAUCUCGUCCUCCCUUCCACCUCACUCCGAAUCUCCCCAACUUCCUCCCGGUGCAUCCUAGGUUUAGAAGAUAUAUUUGUAUUGUCAGUUAUCACACACUACUAACACUAAUACUUACUACUACGAUCUAUAACUAUAAUGAUUCUUAUUAUUAUUAAUACUGCUAUUGUAUCACACCUCUCCAUAGGUCGCAUAAAUACGACAUGCCCUGUUGUUGUUGUUGGAUUGAUUAUCGAUCACGCGCGCGGAACGAGAAGUAAACGCGAAUAAAAGAAAAA
Long non-coding RNA from Trachymyrmex septentrionalis, 2853 nucleotides. RefSeq lists it as uncharacterized. The transcript has 2 exons. The record is from RefSeq and is a predicted model, not a curated record. Lineage: Eukaryota; Metazoa; Arthropoda; Insecta; Hymenoptera; Formicidae.